ACGUAGACGCUAUUCCCUAAGAUUAACCCAUGCAUGUUUUUGACAUUUGAAAAAUGGACUGCUCAGUAAUACUCACUUUAUUUUAUGUAAAUUUUUAAUUAACUACGUUAAAGUGUAGAUAAGAUGUUUACAGUAAGAGUGAGACCUAUCAGCUAGUUGUUAAGGUAAUGGCUUAACAAGGCUGUGACGGGUAACGGUAUUACUUUGUAAUAUUCCGGAGAAGGAGCCUGAGAGACGGCUACUAAGUCUAAGGAUUGCAGCAGGGGCGAAACUUGACCUAUGGAUUUUAUCUGAGGCAGUUAUGGGAAGUAAUAUUAUAUUGUUUCAUAUUUUAAAAGUAUAUGAGGUGAUUAAUUGGAGGGCAAAUCAAGUGCCAGCAGCCGCGGUAAUACUUGUUCCAAGAGUGUGUAUGAUGAUUGAUGCAGUUAAAAAGUCCGUAGUUUAUUUUUUUAAGAAGCAAUAUGAGGUGUACUGUAUAGUUGGGAGAAAGAUGAAAUGUGACGACCCUGACUGGACGAACAGAAGCGAAAGCUGUACACUUGUAUGUAUUUUUUGAACAAGGACGUAAGCUGGAGGAGCGAAGAUGAUUAGAUACCAUUGUAGUUCCAGCAGUAAACUAUGCCGACGAUGUGAUAUGAAAAUAUUAAUUUGUAUUACAUAAUAGAAAUUUGAGUUUUUUGGCUCUGGGGAUAGUAUGAUCGCAAGAUUGAAAAUUAAAGAAAUUGACGGAAGAAUACCACAAGGAGUGGAUUGUGCGGCUUAAUUUGACUCAACGCGAGGUAACUUACCAAUAUUUUAUUAUUUUGAGAGAACGGUUUUUUGUUUGAGAAUGAUAAUAGUGGUGCAUGGCCGUUUUCAAUGGAUGCUGUGAAGUUUUGAUUAAUUUCAACAAGACGUGAGGCCCUUAUUUUUUAUUAAAGACAGACACAAUCAGUGUAGGAAGGAAAGGAUUAAAACAGGUCCGUUAUGCCCUCUGACAUUUUGGGCUGCACGCGCAAUACAAUAGAUAUAUAAUCUUUAUGGGAUAAUAUUUUGUAAGAAAUAUUUGAACUUGGAAUUGCUAGUAAAUUUUAUUAAAUAAGUAGAAUUGGAUGUGUCCCUGUUCUU
RNAcentral lists this ribosomal RNA (1107 nucleotides) under Vairimorpha ceranae. Its description in RNAcentral is "SSU rRNA". It matches the Rfam family "Microsporidia small subunit ribosomal RNA", at positions 21 to 1183 of the family's 1311-position model. Lineage: Eukaryota; Fungi; Microsporidia; Nosematidae. The record is from RNAcentral.